GAUGAACGCUGGCGGUCUGCUUAACACAUGCAAGUCGAACGGAAUCCCUCGGGAUUUAGUGGCGGACGGGUGAGUAACACGUAAGAACCUGCCUCUAGGACGGGGACAACAGUUGGAAACGACUGCUAAACCCGGAUGAGCCGAAAGGUAAAAGAUUUAUCGCCUAGAGAGGGGCUUGCGUCUGAUUAGCUAGUUGGUAAGGUAAAGGCUUACCAAGGCGACGAUCAGUAGCUGGUCUGAGAGGAUGAUCAGCCACACUGGGACUGAGACACGGCCCAGACUCCUACGGGAGGCAGCAGUGGGGAAUUUUUCGCAAUGGGCGAAAGCCUGACGGAGCAAGACCGCGUGGGGGAGGAAGGUUCUUGGAUUGUCAACCCCUUUUCUCAGGGAAGAACAAAAUGACGGUACCUGAGGAAAAAGCAUCGGCUAACUCCGUGCCAGCAGCCGCGGUAA
This 453-nucleotide ribosomal RNA is filed under the name uncultured bacterium. Its description in RNAcentral is "partial 16S ribosomal RNA". It matches the Rfam family "Bacterial small subunit ribosomal RNA", at positions 28 to 523 of the family's 1533-position model. The record is from RNAcentral.